AUCUGAGCCGAAGGCAGAGGCUUUAACCCACUGAUCACCCAGGCGCCCCUGGAAUAUUAUUUUUUAAAAAUUGAAGAGAAUCAAGCUUCAGCCAGAUUGCAUCUAUUGCAAAGUUACUUCUUCUCCAUUUUGUAAGUGGUCAUUGAGAGAUGAAGCUUGAGUUCUGUGUGAGUUCUCCAGGCUCCCUCCCAGAACAACUUAAGAAGAUGAUGAGAAUACGCAAGUCAUAGUUUACUUUUGAAGAAGCGUUUCUCAGCAGUGACCUGAGUCUUCCAGGACUUGGGACAACCUAAUAGCAGCACCAAAAAUGGAGAGUGCUGGAAGUGUACAAAGCAUUUUCUUAUAGAAGUCUCAGCAAGAUGCCUCUAGCAAGAUAUGUUUCUUUCCAUUUCACGUGUGAGGAAGAAAGCUGUGUGCAGAAAAG
Long non-coding RNA from Lutra lutra (Eurasian river otter), 424 nucleotides. RefSeq lists it as uncharacterized. The record is from RefSeq and is a predicted model, not a curated record. NCBI's taxonomy places the organism in Eukaryota, Metazoa, Chordata, Mammalia, Carnivora, Mustelidae. The transcript has 3 exons.